CCAGGUAUUCACCAUGACAUAUUCCAUCCAUAACCAGGUAUUCACCAUGACAUAUUCCAUCCAUAACCAGGUAUUCACCAUGACAUAUUCCAUCCAUAACCAGGUAUUCACCAUGACAUAUUCCAUCCAUAACCAGGUAUUCACCAUGACAUAUUCCAUCCAUAACCAGGUAUUCACCAUGACAUAUUCCAUCCAUAACCAGGUAUUCACCAUGACAUAUUCCAUCCAUAACCAGGUAUUCACCAUGACAUAUUCCAUCCAUAACCAGGUAUUCACCAUGACAUAUUCCAUCCAUAACCAGGUAUUCACCAUGACAUAUUCCAUCCAUAACCAGGUAUUCACCAUGACAUAUUCCAUCCAUAACCAGGUAUUCACCAUGACAUAUUCCAUCCAUAACCAGGUAUUCACCAUGACAUAUUCCAUCCAUAACCAGGUAUUCACCAUGACAUAUUCCAUCCAUAACCAGGUAUUCACCAUGACAUAUUCCAUCCAUACGCAGCAGCCCAGGUAUUCACCAUGACAUAUUCCAUCCAUAAGCAGGUAUUCACCAUGACAUAUUCCAUC
Oncorhynchus tshawytscha (Chinook salmon) is the source of this 564-nucleotide long non-coding RNA. RefSeq lists it as uncharacterized. The record is from RefSeq and is a predicted model, not a curated record. The transcript is spliced from 4 exons. Lineage: Eukaryota; Metazoa; Chordata; Actinopteri; Salmoniformes; Salmonidae.